RNAcentral lists this long non-coding RNA (1093 nucleotides) under Monodelphis domestica (gray short-tailed opossum). RNAcentral describes it as "lncRNA (ENSMODG00000034108.2)". Lineage: Eukaryota; Metazoa; Chordata; Mammalia; Didelphimorphia; Didelphidae. The record is from RNAcentral.
UGAAAAUCGUGUUGGGAAGAGCACUCAAUCAUGACCCUAUAUAUCUGAAGAAAGUCAAGACCUAGAAGAUAGAGGGGAGCAUCUGGCGUCCUUCCCCUCUGUUCUGAAAGGGAGAAGCUUUCCUAAAAGCAUGUAUAGUUGAAUAUUGGAGUAACAGGGCACAUUUUAAGUUCAUGUGAUGCCUAUACUUCAAACUUCCUGAAGGGCAUUGGAUUCUUAUUUAAGCUUAGAGUCUUUGCUACUAAGUUAUGACAUUAAUACCACUAAAUAAAACUUACUUUAAGCUUUCCCAUUCUUGUUGGAUCUGAAGCUAGAUCUUUCACCUCUGAAUCUUGUAGAUCUCAGAUUGAAGCAUUAUUAAGACCAUAAACCAAAUAUCAAGAGCUAAGCAGAUUGUCAAAAUGGAGUUUUGAACCCCGGACUUCAAUUCCCAGAAGUCCUUGGCCACUUCCCAAAAUGCCUUGUAACCUCACCUGAAUUCCCACCUGGGCUGAGAACAGAAAUUGUAUUUAAGCUGACUCUCCGCCUACCUCAGGUUUCUCGGCUUCUGCUUCUAGGGACACGCUUCUCCCAAGAUUUGGUAAAAGCAAAGAUCUUUUGAGCAUCCUCAGGAAUUGGAAUUGAGAAAAAAGCUGAGCAUAAAUAUACCACAGUGAAAUAUAUAGUAUGACUUGGAAUUGAAGAAAUGAUAGCAGCUAGACUCGGUACAACAGGAUGAGUCUUGAUUACAUAAUCAUUGUCUGCUCCUAAAUCCUGUAUAAAACAAUAUACAAUUUUGCCAUUCUGAUCUAAGUUUUGGGUUUUUGAUUAAAAGAAUAGGAGUAUUAAAUUCUGAGAAGCAAGGUAUUAUGAUCCCUUGUCGGAUUAGGGAUUCAAUGAUUGGUCUUAUACCCUCAAUUGCUUCUUUAGUCAAGGGAUAUUGAGGUACACAUGGAACCGAUCCUUCCUUAGUCCUCACCUUGACUAGAGUACCUGAUUUCAAUAGACCUACAUCUGUAAAAGACUUUGACCAAAGAUCUUCAGGGAUAUCCUCAGGUAUUAGAUAGACUGAAUCUAAGUCACCCUCUAAGAAUAGCAGUGGAAAAGCUUUCAG